AUUCGCCUACGGGGGGCAGCAGUGGGGAAUAUUGCACAAUGGGCGAAAGCCUGAUGCAGCGACGCCGCGUGAGUGAAGAAGUAUUUCGGUAUGUAAAGCUCUAUCAGCAGGGAAGAAAAUGACGGUACCUGACUAAGAAGCCCCGGCUAACUACGUGCCAGCAGCCGCGGUAAUACGUAGGGGGCAAGCGUAAUCCGGAUUUUCUGGGUGUAAAGGGAGCGUAGACGGCGAA
Molecule: ribosomal RNA, 232 nt
Filed under: uncultured bacterium
Lineage: Bacteria
Description: partial 16S ribosomal RNA
Rfam family: Bacterial small subunit ribosomal RNA
Source: RNAcentral